GCGCGAGUGGUGAAAUGGGAGACACGCUAGUUUUAGGCACUAGUGCUUUUAGCGUAAGGGUUCGAGUCCCUUCUUGCGCA
Molecule: transfer RNA, 80 nt
Filed under: Mesomycoplasma bovoculi M165/69
Lineage: Bacteria; Bacillati; Mycoplasmatota; Mycoplasmoidales; Metamycoplasmataceae
Description: Mycoplasma bovoculi M165/69 tRNA
Rfam family: tRNA
About the family: Transfer RNA (tRNA) molecules are approximately 80 nucleotides in length.
Source: Rfam by way of RNAcentral